CCAAUAGCGUAUAUUAAAGUUGUUGCAGUUAAAAAGCUCGUAGUUGAAUUUUGGAUUCUUCCAAUUGGUCCAUCUUUUAGAUGAGUACUGGUUGUGUGGGGUCUAUCCGCCUGGUGAUACGUAAUGUCCUUUAUUGGAUGUUGCGGGUAGUCAGGACCUUUACCUUGAAAAAAUUAGAGUGUUUAAAGAAGGCUUAUGCCGGAAUACAUUAGCAUGGAAUAAUAGAAUAGGACGAAGUUGUUUUAUUUUGUUGGUUUCUAGGACAACCGUAAUGAUUAAUAGGGAUAGUUGGGGGCAUUAGUAUUCAAUUGUCAGAGGUGAAAUUCUUGGAUUUAUUGAAGACUAACUACUGCGAAAGCAUUUGCCAAGGAUGUUUUCAUUAAUCAAGAACGAAAGUUAGGGGAUCGAAGACGAUCAGAUACCGUCGUAGUCUUAACCAUAAACUAUGCCGACUAGGGAUCGGGCGAUGUUGUUUCCAUGACUCGCUCGGCACCUUAUG
RNAcentral lists this ribosomal RNA (499 nucleotides) under uncultured Glomeromycotina. Its description in RNAcentral is "partial small subunit ribosomal RNA". It matches the Rfam family "Eukaryotic small subunit ribosomal RNA", at positions 591 to 1092 of the family's 1831-position model. Lineage: Eukaryota; Fungi; Glomeromycota. The record is from RNAcentral.